AAGUCGUAACAAGGUAUCCGUAGGUGAACCUGCGGAUGGAUCAUUAUCACGUUAUCCACGUAUCAACCAUUGUGAACUAGUACUUUUACCUUUGUUUUGAUUUGGAAGUAGGGUUUCGGCUCUGCUGACAAAUUUAAACAAUUGUAUUUUCAUUCAUUUAUUAACUAUUUAAACAAUCUUAAAUAAUUAACUAUUGAACUGAAACAUUCUUUACUCUCUCGGGAGAAAGAAUAAAAAUUACGAAACAUAAGAACAACUCUUAGCAACGGAUAUCUUGGUUCUC
This 283-nucleotide unclassified non-coding RNA is filed under the name fungal sp. RNAcentral describes it as "partial internal transcribed spacer region". The stretch from base 1 to 46 matches the Rfam family "Eukaryotic small subunit ribosomal RNA", at positions 1786 to 1831 of the family's 1831-position model. The record is from RNAcentral. Lineage: Eukaryota; Fungi.